RNAcentral lists this ribosomal RNA (478 nucleotides) under uncultured bacterium. RNAcentral's name for it is "partial 16S ribosomal RNA". It matches the Rfam family "Bacterial small subunit ribosomal RNA", at positions 28 to 507 of the family's 1533-position model. The record is from RNAcentral.
GAUGAACGCUGGCGGCGUGCCUAACACAUGCAAGUCGAACGGAGUCCAGCCUUUAAGACCUUCGGGUCAAAGGGGGGAAGACUGAGUGGCGGACGGGUGAGUAACACGUGGGCAACCUGGCUCAUAGAGGGGGAUAACAGAGAGAAAUUUCUGCUAAUACCGCAUAAGCACACACUGCCGCAUGGCAGAGGGUGAAAAGAGAAUCGCUAUGAGAUGGACCCGCGUCUGAUUAGCCAGUUGGCAGGGUAAGAGCCUACCAAAGCGACGAUCAGUAGCCGAUCUGAGAGGAUGAACGGCCACAUUGGGACUGAGACACGGCCCAAACUCCUACGGGAGGCAGCAGUGGGGGAUAUUGCACAAUGGGGGGAACCCUGAUGCAGCGACGCCGCGUGAGUGAAGAAGUAUUUCGGUAUGUAAAGCUCUAUCAGCAGGGAAGAUAAUGACAGUACCUGAAGAAGAAGCCCCGGCUAACUACGUG